Long non-coding RNA from Sapajus apella (tufted capuchin), 322 nucleotides. RefSeq lists it as uncharacterized. NCBI's taxonomy places the organism in Eukaryota, Metazoa, Chordata, Mammalia, Primates, Cebidae. The record is from RefSeq and is a predicted model, not a curated record. The transcript is spliced from 3 exons.
CUGAUAAAGCCAUUAAAUUUAAGGAUAAAAUCAAGACACUUGAAAAAAAUAAUGAAAUUCUGGGUGACACAGCUAAAAAUCUUCGUGUUAUGUUAGAAUCUGAGAGAGAACAGAAUGUCAAGAAUCAGGAUUUGAUAUCAGAAAACAAGAAAUCUAUAGAGAAGUAAAAAUAUGUUAUUUCCAUGAAUGCUUCAGAAUUUUCAGAGGUAAAGAUGACUAUAAUUCCUGCAGGAUAUUAAAACUAUAUCAUAGUUUUAUUGAGGAGCAAAAAUUUGACACUUGCUAAAAUGUGCAAAAAAUGAAAACUACCUGAUGCUGGGUU